GUUCUCGCCAAAGCUGCGAGGUGACGAACAGAAACGUCGUGGAGGCAGGCGGAUGUUGAGGCGAGUGGCCCNANGACCACGAAGCCGUUUUCCGACAACGUCCGUUUGUAGGCGACGCACUUGCGCAGCGAAAGUUCACGUC
RNAcentral lists this non-coding RNA (142 nucleotides) under Allorhodopirellula heiligendammensis. Lineage: Bacteria; Pseudomonadati; Planctomycetota; Planctomycetia; Pirellulales; Pirellulaceae. The record is from RNAcentral.